Molecule: transfer RNA, 72 nt
Filed under: Fukomys damarensis (Damara mole-rat)
Lineage: Eukaryota; Metazoa; Chordata; Mammalia; Rodentia; Bathyergidae
Rfam family: tRNA
About the family: Transfer RNA (tRNA) molecules are approximately 80 nucleotides in length. Their secondary structure includes four short double-helical elements and three loops (D, anti-codon, and T loops).
Source: Rfam by way of RNAcentral
UGAGAUAUAGCUCAGUAGUAGAACACUUGCCUAGCAUUGGGCAAGCCCUGAGUUCAAUUCCCAGUAUUUUAC